GUCCUCUUGAUUUAUUAUGAGAGGUUUGACCUGCCCAGUGAUAUAUUUAACGGCCGCGGUAUUUUGACCGUGCAAAGGUAGCAUAAUCAUUAGUCUUUUAAAAGGGGGCUGGAAUGAAGGGUUUGACGAGGAAUCUACUGUCUCAUUUUAUUUGUAUUUAGAAUUUAACUUUUUAGUCAAAAGGCUAAAAUUUUGUUGGAAGACGAGAAGACCCUAUAGAGCUUUAUACUUAUUCAAUUAUUUAUUUUAUAUUAUUUUUAAUUAUUUUGAUUAAGUAUUUUGUUGGGGUGACAAAAAUAUAUAAUUAACUUUUUUAUAUUAAUUACAUUGAUUUAUGAAUAUUAGAUCCAUUAUUAUUGAUUGUUAGAUUAAGUUACCUUAGGGAUAACAGCGUAAUCCUUUCCCAGAGUUCAUAUUUACGGAGGGGCUUGCGACCUCGAUGUUGGAUUAAGAUAAUUAUUAGGUGUAGCCGCUUAAUUAAUAGGUCUGUUCGACCUUUAAAUUCUU
RNAcentral lists this ribosomal RNA (507 nucleotides) under Macromia daimoji. Its description in RNAcentral is "partial 16S rRNA". It matches the Rfam family "Bacterial large subunit ribosomal RNA", at positions 1830 to 2597 of the family's 2925-position model. The record is from RNAcentral. Lineage: Eukaryota; Metazoa; Arthropoda; Insecta; Odonata; Macromiidae.